This 440-nucleotide ribosomal RNA is filed under the name uncultured bacterium. RNAcentral describes it as "partial 16S ribosomal RNA". It matches the Rfam family "Bacterial small subunit ribosomal RNA", at positions 338 to 795 of the family's 1533-position model. The record is from RNAcentral.
CCUACGGGUGGCAGCAGUAGGGAAUAUUGCUCAAUGGGGGAAACCCUGAAGCAGCAACGCCGCGUGCAGGAUGACGGCUUUCGGAUUGUAAACCCCUUUUGUUAGAGAAGAUAAUGACGGUAUCUAACGAAUAAGCACCGGCUAACUCCGUGCCAGCCGCCGCGGUACUACGCAGGGUGCAAGCGUUACUCGGAAUAACUGGGCGUUAAGAGCGCGUAGGCGGGAUAGCAAGUCAGAUGUGAAAUGCUAUGGCUUAACCAGAGAACUGCAGUGGAAACUGUUAUUCUAGAGUAUGGGAGAGGUAGGUGGAAUUCGUGGUGUAGGGGUGAAAUCCGUAGAGAUGAAGAGGAAUACUCAGUGCGAAGGCGGCCUGCUGGAACAGAACUGACGCUGAUGCGCGAAAGCGUGGGGAGCAAACAGGAUUAGAUACCCGUGUAGUC